This is a long non-coding RNA of Syngnathoides biaculeatus (alligator pipefish), 1933 nucleotides long. RefSeq lists it as uncharacterized. The transcript has 2 exons. The record is from RefSeq and is a predicted model, not a curated record. NCBI's taxonomy places the organism in Eukaryota, Metazoa, Chordata, Actinopteri, Syngnathiformes, Syngnathidae.
CCAACUGGGGGGCGUCAUAGUGCAGCCGGCCGGCGUUUAUUUGCAAACGCUGAUUGGUAAUUCGACACUAAGUGUGAAGUCACGUACCAUUUCCGGUUUUUUUUUUACGUAAGCGAAACGUAAUACAGGUACUCCUAAAAAAAAAAUCGCUCCAAAAGUUACGCAUAUGAUAAUGUAGCCUGCUGGGAAAGUAUUUGUCACUUUCAAAGUACCCCUUUUGGACUCCAAAAGGUAGCUUUCGUACUUAAUUGGAGCAUUGUUGAGAUUUCAUGCUACAGUAAUUCGUUUUGUUGAUACUCGCCAUUGUUUAUUUUUUGCCUAACUGUGAGAAAAAUCAUGCGAUUCGUUACGUCACUUCCGUAAACAUCUAUUGGUGCUCUCAGAUCAAAAUUUACACAUUUGGAAUACUUGCGGCCAUAAAGUAGCACUAAUAUUGACAUAUGCAGAGCCAAAACGACAGCAAAAACAUCGGAAAGGUGUUUUCUCAAAUUAGAAGUGGGCCGAAACGUCUGGAAGAAGAAAAAAAAACAAACUACGUUGCAGCUGUAGUUUUACGUAGUUUGGAACGUAAACACGAGUCCAACGCGGUUGUCACGACUCACUGCGAUUGGCCCAAUCGAAGACUUUGUUUGUGGACAUGUGACUUUCUUGUGUCGUUUGAUUGGUGACCUGGGGUCAAAAGUCAUUGAACCAUAGAGGAUUGGCGCAAAAAUUAAAAAGUAGAUACAAAUAGAUCAUCCUCGUAAUUAUUGAUAAAUUAAAGUAGCAUGUAUAUUAUGGAGAGGUUUCCGAUUACGUCAACACAAUCCCACGAUUCCCCUUUUCUACGACGUCAUAACUCUUAGACCAAUCGGAUAGAUUAACGAUAGAAAAAAACUUUUCACCUAUCACCUGUGUUCUCUGAUCUUUAAGACACGCAAAGAUGGCGGCCGUCGCAAGGCGUGACGGGUAAUUGCAAAGUACUGUUUCUUUGCAUAGUCUAAAAGUACAAGACAGGAACUGUGCUGCUCUUUGCUUGUGUGACAUCAUGGAGAAAUACUUCCUGGAAUGGAUAGACAGACAUAGACAAAGAAAGAGGGAGGCCAUCGUCAAGGCAGCAUCGCCCGCUCCCCGCCCCUCCUCGGCUCGGUUUCGUACUCUCAUCAUUAUUGUGUGUGUGUGUGUGUGUGUGGGGGGGUGUUGGAAAAGAGGAAGUUGUGUUCUGCGGCCUUAAGAAACAGGAAGUCAGGCAAAACAUGGCACACCCUUCAUCUAUUUCGUUUUUAAGUACAUUUGCAUUUAAACAUUUGAAACCCCCCCCCUGAAGCUAUGCUAAUGCUACUUCUGAAUGAUGAACGCUAGUGAUUUCCCUUUGAUUAAAAAUGAGACAUCUCUAUCUUGAUAUUAAAUGUUAAGAAAGCUUGCAGAAAAGUUGACCUACCUUUCAGUGUAUUAUUAUGGUUAUAUUUUCUCGAGGCCAGGGGUCAUCAUCACACGGUUCCCCACGAGGCAUGUCGUAAAAAUACCACACGUCACAAAUUCUCAAAAUCUUGACUGCCUUUAUGAAAUUUUCAAAAUAUAUAUUUCUAUUUAUGUACACUCUAAAUUGCCCCUCGGUGUGAUUGUGAGUCCGACUGUUUGUCUCGAUGUGCCCUGCGAUUGGCUGGCAACCAGUUCAGGGUGCGUACACCGCCUCCUGCCCAUUAAUCACUGGGAUAGACCCCGACACUCUGCGACCCUCGUGAGGAUAAGCGGCAAAGAAAAGGGCUGGAUGGAUGGAUUAAGUCAAGCAGAAGAGGCAGGGCGUGUCUUUAUGUCCAUUUUAUUGUCAACAAUCCACAGACAGGUGGAUGAUUGGGAGGCCCGAUCACUUUUUGCCCUCAUCCUCCUUGGACAGGUUCUUGAUGAUUUCUUCCUUCUUGGCCUGGAGGCGCUCCUCUCGGCGUUUGCGGGC